RNAcentral lists this ribosomal RNA (629 nucleotides) under Pseudomonas sp. Horo_9. RNAcentral's name for it is "bacterial SSU rRNA". It matches the Rfam family "Bacterial small subunit ribosomal RNA", at positions 56 to 681 of the family's 1533-position model. Lineage: Bacteria; Pseudomonadati; Pseudomonadota; Gammaproteobacteria; Pseudomonadales; Pseudomonadaceae. The record is from RNAcentral. RNAcentral also lists the same sequence under 1 other name.
UGCAGUCGAGCGGAUGAAGGGAGCUUGCUCCUGGAUUCAGCGGCGGACGGGUGAGUAAUGCCUAGGAAUCUGCCUGGUAGUGGGGGAUAACGUCCGGAAACGGGCGCUAAUACCGCAUACGUCCUGAGGGAGAAAGUGGGGGAUCUUCGGACCUCACGCUAUCAGAUGAGCCUAGGUCGGAUUAGCUAGUUGGUGGGGUAAAGGCCUACCAAGGCGACGAUCCGUAACUGGUCUGAGAGGAUGAUCAGUCACACUGGAACUGAGACACGGUCCAGACUCCUACGGGAGGCAGCAGUGGGGAAUAUUGGACAAUGGGCGAAAGCCUGAUCCAGCCAUGCCGCGUGUGUGAAGAAGGUCUUCGGAUUGUAAAGCACUUUAAGUUGGGAGGAAGGGCAGUAAGUUAAUACCUUGCUGUUUUGACGUUACCAACAGAAUAAGCACCGGCUAACUUCGUGCCAGCAGCCGCGGUAAUACGAAGGGUGCAAGCGUUAAUCGGAAUUACUGGGCGUAAAGCGCGCGUAGGUGGUUCAGCAAGUUGGAUGUGAAAUCCCCGGGCUCAACCUGGGAACUGCAUCCAAAACUACUGAGCUAGAGUACGGUAGAGGGUGGUGGAAUUUCCUGUGUAGCGG